CAAUGGCUAAUGCCGGAUACGCAUGGAACCGCAUGGUCCGUUGUGAAAGGCGCUGUAAGGCGCCACUAAAAGAUGAGGGUGCGGAACAUUAGUUAGUUGGUGAGGUAAUGGCCCACCAAGACUAUGAUGUUUAGCCGGGUCGAGAGACUGAACGGCCACAUUGGGACUGAGAUACGGCCCAAACUCCUACGGGAGGCAGCAGCG
RNAcentral lists this ribosomal RNA (204 nucleotides) under uncultured Mycoplasma sp. RNAcentral's name for it is "partial 16S ribosomal RNA". It matches the Rfam family "Bacterial small subunit ribosomal RNA", at positions 157 to 356 of the family's 1533-position model. Lineage: Bacteria; Bacillati; Mycoplasmatota; Mollicutes; Mycoplasmatales; Mycoplasmataceae. The record is from RNAcentral.